AGCUCCAGUAGCGUAUAUUAAAGUUGUUGCAGUUAAAAAGCUCGUAGUUGGAUUUCUGGUUGGAUAGCGCUGAUCCGCCCUCAGGGUGAGUGUCGGCUGCUUAUCUACCAUCCUUCCACAGCGUAUUUCUACCUUUUAUUAGGACGGAUUUACAAUGUGGAACUUUUACUUUGAAAAAAUUAGAGUGUUCAAAGCAGGCUUGCGCUAUGAAUACAUUAGCAUGGAAUAAUAAUUUAGGACUUUGGUUCUAUUUUGUUGGUUUUCAGUACCGAAGUAAUGAUUGAUAGGGAUAGUUGGGGGUGCUAGUAUUCAGUGGCCAGAGGUGAAAUUCUCGGAUUCACUGAAGACUAACUUAUGCGAAAGCAUUCACCAAGGAUGUCUUCUUUA
This 387-nucleotide ribosomal RNA is filed under the name Pseudopirsonia sp. RNAcentral's name for it is "partial small subunit ribosomal RNA". It matches the Rfam family "Eukaryotic small subunit ribosomal RNA", at positions 587 to 975 of the family's 1831-position model. The record is from RNAcentral. Lineage: Eukaryota; Cercozoa; Imbricatea; Marimonadida.